AAUCCUUUAACGAGGAUCUAUUGGAGGGCAAGUCUGGUGCCAGCAGCCGCGGUAAUUCCAGCUCCAAUAGCGUAUAUUAAAGUUGUUGUGGUUAAAAAGCUCGUAGUUGGAUCUCAGUUCGAGUCAGGCGGUCCACUUGCCAGUGGCUACUGCCUGACUGAACACUUUACCGAGUUGUCCUAUGGUGUUCUUCACCGAGCGUCAUAGGCGAUCGGUAGGUUUACUUUGAAAAAAUUAGAGUGCUCAAAGCAGGCGUAACGCCCGAAUAAUGUUGCAUGGAAUAAUGGAAUAGGACCUCGGUUCUAUUUUGUUGGUCUUCGGAAUCAGAGGUAAUGAUCAAUAGGGACAGACGGGGACAUUCGUAUUGCGGCGCUAGAGGUGAGAUUCUUGGACCGUCGCAAGACGAACUAAAGCGAAAGCAUUUGUCAAGAAUGUUUUCAUUAAUCAAGAACGAAAGUUAGAGGUUCGAAGGCGAUCAGAUACCGCCCUAGUUCUAACCAUAAACGAUGCCAACCAGUAAUUCGUCUGAGUUCCUUAAAUGACUCGACGAGGGACUUCCGGGAAACCAAAGUCUUUCGGUUCCAGGGGAAGUAUGGUUGCAAAGCUGAAACUUAAAGAAAUUGACGGAAGGGCACCACCAGGAGUGGAGCCUGCGGCUUAAUUUGACUCAACACGGGAAAACUCACCCGGCCCGGACACUGGAAGGAUUGACAGAUUGAGAGCUCUUUCUUGAUUCAGUGGGUGGUGGUGCAUGGCCGUUCUUAGUUGGUGGAGUGAUUUGUCUGGUUAAUUCCGAUAACGAACGAGACUCUAGCCUACUAAAUAGAUCGUCGGCUUACAAACGCCGGCGAGACUUCUUAGAGGGACAGGCGGUGAUUCAACCGCACGAAACAGAGCAAUAACAGGUCUGUGAUGCCCUUAGAUGUCCGGGGCCGCACGCGCGCUACACUGAAGUGAUCAGCGUGCUUUUUUCAACCUACUCUGUCAAGAGUGGGGAACCCAAUGAACCUUCUUCGUGAUUGGGAUAGGGGAUUGUAAUUAUUCCCCUUGAACGAGGAAUUCCCAGUAAGCGCGAGUCAUAAGCUCGCGUUGAUUACGUCCCUGCCCUUUGUACACACCGCCCGUCGCUACUACCGAUUGAAUGUUUUAGUGAGGUCUUCGGACUGGCCGGCGCAGCACUCUCGUAGUGCAGCGCUGUGUUUGGAAAGAUGCCCAAACUUGAUCAUUUAGAGGAAGUAAAAGU
Molecule: ribosomal RNA, 1243 nt
Filed under: metagenome
Description: SSU rRNA
Rfam family: Eukaryotic small subunit ribosomal RNA
Source: RNAcentral